AGUUUGAUUAUGGCUCAGGAUGAACGCUAGCUACAGGCUUAACACAUGCAAGUCGAGGGGCAGCAUGUGGUGCUUGCAACCAAUGAUGGCGACCGGCGCACGGGUGAGUAACGCGUAUCCAACCUCCCCUUAGUAGAGGAUAGCCCGGCGAAAGCCGGAUUAAUACUCUAUGUUCUUCAAUGCGGACAUCUAAGUUGAAGCAAAGAUUUAUCGCUAAGGGAUGGGGAUGCGUCUGAUUAGGUUGCAGGCGGGGUAACGGCCCACCUGGCCUACGAUCAGUAGGGGUUCUGAGAGGAAGGUCCCCCACAUUGGUACUGAGACACGGACCAAACUCCUACGGGAGGCAGCAGUGAGGAAUAUUGGUCAAUGGGCGAGAGCCUGAACCAGCCAAGUAGCGUGCCAGGACGACUGCCCUAUGGGUUGUAAACUGCUUUUAUGCGGGAAUAAAGUCCACUACGUGUAGUGGUUUGUAUGUACCGCAUGAAUAAGGACCGGCUAAUUCCGUGCCAGCCGCGGC
Molecule: ribosomal RNA, 517 nt
Filed under: uncultured bacterium
Lineage: Bacteria
Description: bacterial SSU rRNA
Rfam family: Bacterial small subunit ribosomal RNA
Source: RNAcentral